UAUUUGAAGAGUUUGAUCCUAGCUCAGAGUGAACGCUGGCGGUGCGCCUAACACAUGCAAGUCGCGCGAGGAGCAAUCCUAGCGGCGAACGGCUGCGUAACACGUUGGUACCUGCCCCGAACUCAGGGAUAACCCUCCGAAAGGAGGGCUAAUACCGGAUGGUCUCGUGAGAGUAAAGCUUCGGCGGUUCGGGAGGGGCCUGCGGCCUAUCAGAUAGUUGGCGAGGUAACGGCUCACCAAGUCUAUGACGGGUAGCUGAUCUGAGAGGAUGAUCAGCCAGAAUGGAACUGAGACACGGUCCAUACUCCUACGGGAGGCAGCAGUGAGGAAUCUUCCGCAAUGGGCGAAAGCCUGACGGAGCGACACCGCGUGGAGGAUGAAGUCCUUUUUGGAUGUAAACUCCUGUUCUGAGGGACGAAAUUUUUGACGGUACCUCAGGAGAAAGCAUCGGCUAACCCUGUGCCAGCAGCCGCGGUAAGACAGGGGAUGCAAGCGUUACUCGGAAUUACUGGGCGUAAAGCGUCUGUAGGCGUCCUCCCACGUCUGAUGUAAAAGCACGGGGCUCAACCCCGUGUACGUGUUGGAAACGAGGAGGAUCGAGUCACUGAGAGGCAUCUGGAAUGUCGUGUGUAGGGGUAAAAUCCGUAGAUCCACGAUGGAACGCCAAAAGCGAAAGCAGGAUGCUGGCAGUGUACUGACGCUCAGAGACGAAAGCGUGGGGAGCGAAUGGGAUUAGAUACCCCAGUAGUCCACGCCCUAAACGAUGAGUGCUAGGUAUUGGGAGUAUCGACCCUCUCAGUGCCCUUAAUGAAGCUAACGCGUUAAGCACUCCGCCUGGGAAGUACGGCCGCAAGGCUAAAACUCAAAGGAAUAGACGGGGACCCGCACAAGCGGUGGAUCAUGUGGUU
This 908-nucleotide ribosomal RNA is filed under the name Candidatus Peregrinibacteria bacterium. RNAcentral describes it as "bacterial SSU rRNA". It matches the Rfam family "Bacterial small subunit ribosomal RNA", at positions 1 to 946 of the family's 1533-position model. The record is from RNAcentral. Lineage: Bacteria; Candidatus Peregrinibacteriota.